CCCGCCUUAGCUCAGUUGGCAGAGCGUGGGACUGUAAAGGUUACCUACGUAAUCCCGAGGCCGCCCGUUCGAUCCGGGCAGGCGGGA
This is a non-coding RNA of Mycena rosella, 87 nucleotides long. Lineage: Eukaryota; Fungi; Basidiomycota; Agaricomycetes; Agaricales; Mycenaceae. The record is from the annotation of a GenBank genome assembly.